GGCGCCGCCGCCGCCGCCGCCGCCGCCCGCCGGGUUCUUGGCGCUGCCGUUGGCCGAUCGGUUCUUCCCCAGUAACUCGGGCCCUUUCUCCAUCAUGCCGGGCAUGGUAGAAGAGGGGAGGGGGAAAGGUCAAUGCGGAGUGGAUCAAAGCAGAAAUAAGCCUCUCUGGCUAGAGCAAGACUUCACUGAAAGCAGAAACAUACCUAAAGCAGGAAUGUCUCAAUCAGGGAAUUGGGCCAAAAAAAAAAAAAAAAAGCCUGCAGAUUGUGUGUGUGUCAUUUGACAAGCUGAAAUUUAAAUGGAAAUUCAGAAGAUCAAGAACAGCCAAGACGGGUGCCUCAGUCGGUUAAGCGUCUGCCUUCAGCUCUGGUCAUGAUCCCAGGGUCCUGGGAUUGAGCCCCACGUCGGGCUGACUCCCUGCUCCACGGAAAGCCUGCUUCUCCC
Zalophus californianus (California sea lion) is the source of this 444-nucleotide long non-coding RNA. RefSeq lists it as uncharacterized. The record is from RefSeq and is a predicted model, not a curated record. The transcript has 3 exons. Lineage: Eukaryota; Metazoa; Chordata; Mammalia; Carnivora; Otariidae.